Molecule: non-coding RNA, 48 nt
Organism: Schistosoma curassoni
Lineage: Eukaryota; Metazoa; Platyhelminthes; Trematoda; Strigeidida; Schistosomatidae
Source: Rfam
AUCCAGCUGACGAGUUCCAAAUAAGACGAAAGCUAUGUCAAGCUGGAU